AAUCAGAUAAAAAAAUAUAACAAAAGUCAAAAAUUAAAAGAGGAUUAGGGUUACGUGAAUGUGGCUAUUGGAGUCUUGGAGUCAGACUUUCCCUUCUCUUCUUCAACGUGGACGACGUUCUUCUUCUUCGACCCCAAUCGCCGCCGCGUCUGCUCCUUCGCACUCCUCUCUUCUCUACUUUAAUCAAACUCUUCAUGCUUGAUUCAACCGAAGAAUCUUCAGAGACGAUGAAUAAUGAUGAAAGUCAAGAGAAGUUGUUGACGAAGAUUGUAAUAAUGAAUGGCGCUCAAGGUUGUUGCGAAAGCGUUAUCGUGUGAUGAAGAUGUUGAACGUGAUGCGAUGAAGGAAAUUGUUAAAGUGUGAAGAUGAUGGAUCAGUGAUGAUGAACAGCGAUGGUGAUGCGAUUCAGUGAUGAUGAUUGUAGGUCGUUGCUGAAGAUUGUAUGAAGCUGUUGUAGUGCGACGUUUCGGUUGAAGCCUUUUCUGAGUUUUUUUGGUUGAUGGAUGUUGAGGCAGAUUGAAGAACUCUUUGUGAAGAUGUGAGACAAAGUUAUUUUACGAAGAUGAUGAUAGAAGAACCUAAAGAUGAAGUCUCGAGAAUUCAGUUAGAGAGAGGUGAAGAAGAUGAUGAAGAAGGUGAAUCCAGGAAGUGGAGAGGAUGAAAAGGAAGAUGAAGAAGUGUGGAUUUUCUGUUAUUGAUGGAAGAAAGUGGAGUGUAGAGAGAAGAAGGAGAGAAGGUUGAUGAUGGAGCAGGUUGAAGAUAUUAUGGAUAAUUGAUGAUGGAGAUUUUUUGUGAUGAAAAAUGUUUGAGAGUUCUCUGUGAAUUGAAGAUUGAAGCUUGCAGAUUCUUUUUGUUAGAUUCUAUGGGAAAGAAGAAAGUUGCGAUGAAUUGAGGAGUGAAUGAUAAAGAUUGAAGAAGAAAGGAGAUUGAGAGAGUGAGGAUUGUUCUGUUAGAGGUUGGUUGAUGUGCAGGCUUGCGGUUCGGUUUAAUAUCGAACCGGUUUUUUUCGUUUCCUCUAUGGAGCUUGGUUUUGACAAAAGCUUAUACUUCCUGUGAACAAAAAUCGGUGAGCCACGGCAUGAAGUUCUGAGAUUGGCAUGGAGAAGCUUGAAACAACUAGAAAUUAGGAUGGGCUUUUUACAGUGUAAUUCAAUUUUUUUUGUAAUAUCAAUUGGGCUUCUGGUUUAUAGUGGGCCCCUUUUUUGUAAUUCAGAAUUGUAUGGACUUUGUCUUGGUGACUUUUGGGCCUUAUUUUUUGUUGGAAUUUUGGACAAGAAUGCACUUGAAUAAAAAUUGAAAAAUGGAUAUUUGUUUUUUUUUGUAAUAAACUUAAAUAGAAAUGUUUGUAUUUGGACUUUGAAAUUGAAUGUGUUUCAUAUAUGGACUUGAAGGGCAUUCUCUUGCAACUUUUGCACACACCAUAUAUGUAUCCUAUUGCCUUGUAACUCGUAUUCCAAACAAUCCCAUGUGUAUACCCUCUUGGCACUCUUGGAUUUAUUCUUGAAAACUUUAGAUGAAUUUUUGUAUGAAACUCUUGAUGAAAUGGUGAAUAAAUCUUGAAAUCCAUGGACUAGCUAAAGAAGAAAGAAGCUUAUUUGACUUCCACGUGAAUUUUGACUUUGUCUUGAAUGAAAUUUCUCCCAAUAUAAUGGCCAUUUGAGUAGUAAUAAUCACUGUGAAGUAAAAUGGACUUCAAAAGACUUGGUCA
Vicia villosa (hairy vetch) is the source of this 1708-nucleotide long non-coding RNA. RefSeq lists it as uncharacterized. NCBI's taxonomy places the organism in Eukaryota, Viridiplantae, Streptophyta, Magnoliopsida, Fabales, Fabaceae. The record is from RefSeq and is a predicted model, not a curated record. The transcript has 3 exons.